GCCAGGUGUGGUGGCUCACGCCUGUAAUCCAAGCACUUUGGGAGGCUGAGGUGGGUGGAUCACCUGAGGUCAGGAGUUCAAGACCAGCCUGGCCAACAUGGUGAAACCCCAUCUCAA
RNAcentral lists this non-coding RNA (117 nucleotides) under Nomascus leucogenys (northern white-cheeked gibbon). The record is from Rfam by way of RNAcentral. Lineage: Eukaryota; Metazoa; Chordata; Mammalia; Primates; Hylobatidae.